CCGCCAUUUUGGGGGCGCUAUCUGCCCUCGUGAAAGAUUUUAGACAAUUUAAACAACGUGAAAAGCGACUUUCAAAAGUUGCAACUGCAAAUGUAUUAUCGUACUAAAAAUAAUACUAAAAAGUUGCAUUUCGUGGUACGGAGACUCUCAAAUGUGGAAGUGGCAGUACCCCCAAAAUAUGGCGGAAAAAUCGGCCGCGAGAAAGGCUAAUUAUCAAUAUUCUGAACUUCCAACCUGAACCAACGUACACCUAGCCUAGACCAUAGCGUAUCGAAGGGAAGAUGGCUGUGAAACUCAUUAGAAUAACAAUAUAACUCAUUAUCCGUGUUAGUCAACGUUUAUUCAUAAAUCUGGAUGGUCAUUCACCGUCACAGUAUACAAUUCAUGCGCAUUCACGAUACACAAUACACAAUUGUGUUUUUGCCAACUAACCAAUAGCAAUGUUUUAGGAACGGCUUAUUAAAUUAAGUUUAGACAUUAGAAAUGUGUAGAAAUGCAAGUAAUAAUUAUUUAAUUUCUUUUUAUUGUUUACAGAAAUGCAAGUAAUAAUUAUUUAAUUUCUUUUUAUUGUUAAUAGAAAUGGAAACAGUUAUCUUUGUGUGUUCAUUAAAAUUAACUGCGCAUGCUUAAUUAAAGUUAUUGGAAUAAUUGGCAACAAGACAUAUAUAGAGGCAAUCAUGUAAACAAUAAUUUUUGUAAUUAACCAUUAGGGAGAAUAUGUUACUGUAAUUGGUGUUGCCCCCGUUAAAUAAAGUUUAUUGUAUUGUAUUGUAUUUUUAAAACUGCAUUUUAUAAUUCGUUCAUAUAGUUUCACAUGCUGGUCAUAUUCAGCAAAUUUUAUCCCAGUACCACAGACUCGUAUUUUCAUCGGAUUUGUUGUGAAAAAUUGAAACUUUUGCAUUUUGCACAAACUUCCCACUUUCCGUAAGAUGUCCGCUGACAAUACGAGCCCGCACGAGUGGGAGAAAUUUUACUAAAUUUGACCAACGUGUCAUGGCACUAUAAGCGUACCGAUCCUAUCCGGAGGCUCAUUCUAAUUUUUGCCCAAAUUUGUAUGGAGAAUUGUGAUGAAAUACCCUGAAUUUAACAUAUUUUAUGAUACAUUUGUCAAAAAUUUGUCGAUUUUCUUGAUUUUUAUUUCAUUUGCUUUCUUUAGUUUUGGGGGCGGGGGCAAUCGGCCUGCCCCCCUGUCUCGUUAGAGGAGGGCAAUUUCCCCCGCCCCGUACGCUUAUAUGAAUUGCACAAAUUAAAUGCUCUAUGAACAUUUAAUUAUAACAGAAUUUCAAUUUAUUAACGUUGCUAUAUUUGUUUACUAUAUUUAAUCGUUAUCGUGCACAAUUUAACAAUGUAAGUUGUAAUGCAGUGAUUUAAUUAAAAAAUGCUUCUUUAACCAACAUGUUGUCAGCCUUGCAACAACAAGACAGUAUAAUUAUGGUUUUUGCGCCAGGAUAUGUCAGUUUAGUUCUACACAAAAGACCCAUUAGACCAUCUAGACCCAUUUGUGCAGUUCUUUUAAAACACAAAUGUGUUUUGAAACCCAAAAAUAUAACAUUAAAACAGUCUUCUCAUUUACUCGUUUUCCUCGUGAUCGAUGCUCCAAAAAAUGCCAGAAAUUGAAUAUUCAUGAUUUCCA
Non-coding RNA from Paramuricea clavata, 1633 nucleotides. NCBI's taxonomy places the organism in Eukaryota, Metazoa, Cnidaria, Anthozoa, Malacalcyonacea, Plexauridae. The record is from the annotation of a GenBank genome assembly.